This 886-nucleotide ribosomal RNA is filed under the name uncultured archaeon. RNAcentral's name for it is "bacterial SSU rRNA". It matches the Rfam family "Archaeal small subunit ribosomal RNA", at positions 34 to 922 of the family's 1478-position model. The record is from RNAcentral.
CGGGGUUCGAUUAAGCCAUGCGAGUUAAAUGUUCUUCGUGAACAUAGCGAACUGCUCAGUAACACGUGGAUAACCUACCCUUGGGACCGGAAUAACCCCGGGAAACUGGGGAUAAUACCGGAUAAGCCAUAGACGCUGGAAUGCCCUAUGGUUCAAAGCUCCGGCGCCUAAGGAUGGAUCUGCGGUCUAUCAGGUUGUAGUGGGUGUAACGUACCUACUAGCCGACGACGGAUACGGGUUGUGAGAGCAAGAGCCCGGAGAUGGAUUCUGAGACACGAAUCCAGGCCCUACGGGGUGCAGCAGGCGCGAACACUUUACAAUGCGGGAAACCGCGAUAAGGGAACCCCGAGUGCCAGCAUCAAAUGUUGGCUGUCCAGAUGAUUAAAAAUCAUUUGUUAGCAAGGGCCGGGCAAGACCGGUGCCAGCCGCCGCGGUAACACCGGCGGCCCGAGUGGUAGCCGUUUUUAUUGGGUCUAAAGGGUCCGUAGCCGGCCUGAUAAGUCCUUUGGGAAAUCUGGCAGCUUAACUGUCAGGCUUCUAAGGGAUACUGUCAGGCUUGGGACCGGAAGAGGUAAGGGGUACUCCAGGGGUAGGAGUGAAAUCUUGUAAUCCCUGGGGGACCAUCUGUGGCGAAGGCGCCUUACCAGAACGGGUCCGACGGUGAGGGACGAAAGCUAGGGGAGCAAACCGGAUUAGAUACCCGGGUAGUCCUAGCUGUAAACGAUGCUCGCUAGGUGUCAGACACGGUGCGACCGUGUUUGGUGCCGCAGGGAAGCCGUUAAGCGAGCCACCUGGGAAGUACGGUCGCAAGGCUGAAACUUAAAGGAAUUGGCGGGGGAGCACUACAACGGGUGGAGCCUGCGGUUUAAUUGGAUUCACCGCCGGG